Long non-coding RNA from Anopheles gambiae (African malaria mosquito), 936 nucleotides. RefSeq lists it as uncharacterized. NCBI's taxonomy places the organism in Eukaryota, Metazoa, Arthropoda, Insecta, Diptera, Culicidae. The transcript has 2 exons. The record is from RefSeq and is a predicted model, not a curated record.
UGGUGACUGAUGCUUUUCUUUGUUUCUUUUCCUGCUUUCAUCCACUGAUGGUGUCGAGCAUCGCCGAGGAUGUGAUCGAAUGCGGAAUAUUCGAAACGAGGAGAUUCAUUCCGGAUUUUGUUUGCAAUAAGCGCUGAACUAAUCCUCCAGCUUACAGGACGGCAAAGGUACACGCACAAACGUGCACACAUCAGCCUUCUCGGAGAACGAGAACACGGGAGGGGGAGACCGGCAACGUAUAGAACCUUUACGCUCCCUCGUGCGUUCGUGCGUGCGUGCGCGCGCGCGUCUAUGUGUGUGUAUGUGUGUGCAUGCCUGCGUGCGUGGCUGUGUGUGUUUUUGCCGCUUCGCAUAACGAGAUCCUACGGGAUCACCUUGCGAAAAACACCAAGAGAGGGGGAGGGGUAGGUAUGUGUGUAUGUGUGUGUGUAUGUGUGCUUGCAUGCGUGCGUGGCUGUGUAUGUGUGCUUGCAUGCGUGCAUGGCUGUGUAUGUGUGUGUAUGUGUGCUUGCAUGCGUGCAUGGUUGUGUAUGUGUGUAUGUGUGCUUGCAUGCGUGCGUGGCUGUGUAUGUGUGUGUAUGUGUGCUUUUGCUGUUUGGCGAUCUCCUACGGAAUCACCUUGCGAAAACACCUGGGAGGGGGGGGGGGGGGAGGAGUGAGGUGUGUGUGUGCUUGCCUGCGUGCUUUGUGUGUGUGUUUUUGCGUUCACGUUCUACGGGAUCACUUUGCGAAAAACACCAAGGGGAGGAGGAGGUGUGUGUGUGUAUGUUUUUUUUUUCUUUGCCGAUUCGCACUCUCUCGCGGAUCUAGUUGUGUGCGUUAGUUUUUUUUUUUAGUUUCUUCGAAAAAUACCUGGGGGAGGAUGUGUGUAUGAAAGAAUGUACUUCAGAAAAGAAAGUGAAAAAUAAAAAACGAAUAUGAAAUAUGUUAAACGAA